GCGCUUCAGCAGCGCCUAAACUAAAAUGGGAACAGUGCAGAGAAGAUGAACAAGGUCUCUGUACAAGCAUGUCAUGCCAAUCUGUGAAUCAUGUCAUAUUUUU
Small nuclear RNA from Hyaena hyaena (striped hyena), 103 nucleotides. The record is from RefSeq and is a predicted model, not a curated record. NCBI's taxonomy places the organism in Eukaryota, Metazoa, Chordata, Mammalia, Carnivora, Hyaenidae.